AUUGAACGCUAGCGGGAUGCCUUACACAUGCAAGUCGAACGGCAGCACGGACUUCGGUCUGGUGGCGAGUGGCGAACGGGUGAGUAAUGUAUCGGAACGUGCCCAGUAGCGGGGGAUAACUACGCGAAAGCGUAGCUAAUACCGCAUACGCCCUACGGGGGAAAGCAGGGGAUCGCAAGACCUUGCACUAUUGGAGCGGCCGAUAUCGGAUUAGCUAGUUGGUGGGGUAACGGCUCACCAAGGCGACGAUCCGUAGCUGGUUUGAGAGGACGACCAGCCACACUGGGACUGAGACACGGCCCAGACUCCUACGGGAGGCAGCAGUGGGGAAUUUUGGACAAUGGGGGAAACCCUGAUCCAGCCAUCCCGCGUGUGCGAUGAAGGCCUUCGGGUUGUAAAGCACUUUUGGCAGGAAAGAAACGUCGUGGGUUAAUACCCCGCGAAACUGACGGUACCUGCAGAAUAAGCACCGGCUAACUACGUG
RNAcentral lists this ribosomal RNA (484 nucleotides) under uncultured beta proteobacterium. RNAcentral's name for it is "bacterial SSU rRNA". It matches the Rfam family "Bacterial small subunit ribosomal RNA", at positions 30 to 507 of the family's 1533-position model. The record is from RNAcentral. Lineage: Bacteria; Pseudomonadati; Pseudomonadota; Betaproteobacteria.